GUGGGGAAUUUUGGACAAUGGGCGAAAGCCUGAUCCAGCCAUGCCGCGUGCAGGAUGAAGGCCUUCGGGUUGUAAACUGCUUUUGUACGGAACGAAAAGACUCUGGUUAAUACCUGGGGUCCAUGACGGUACCGUAAGAAUAAGCACCGGCUAACUACGUGCCAGCAGCCGCGGUAAUACGUAGGGUGCAAGCGUUAAUCGGAAUUACUGGGCGUAAAGCGUGCGCAGGCGGUUAUAUAUGACAGAUGUGAAAUCCCCGGGCUCAACCUGGGAACUGCAUUUGUGACGGUAAAGUAAGAGUACGGCAGAGGGGGAUGGAAUUCCGCGUGUAGCAGUGAAAUGCGUAGAUAUGCGGAGGAACACCGAUGGCGAAGGCAAUCCCCUGGGCCUGUACUGACGCUCAUGCACGAAAGCGUGGGGAGCAAACAGGAUUAGAAACCCGGGUAGUCC
Molecule: ribosomal RNA, 450 nt
Filed under: uncultured bacterium
Lineage: Bacteria
Description: partial 16S ribosomal RNA
Rfam family: Bacterial small subunit ribosomal RNA
Source: RNAcentral